CUCAGGUCCUUCUAUCUGAUCUUGGAUACCAGGAAAAACUUCUUCCAAAUAGUGGUUGGGCAGUGGCACAGGCUGCCCGGGGGGUGGUGGGGUCACUGUCCCUGGAGGUGUUCAGGAAAUGUGGAGAUGUGGCACUGAGAGACACAGUCAGUGGGGAACACUGGUGGUAGGACCCCAGGUGUUGAGGAAAGGAUUAACCCAUCCGGUGCCCCUGGUUAGAAGGGGUCUGCUCCUAAAUCACCUUCUCCAGCUGUUCUGACCAGAGUGAUCUCUGACUUGCUAAUCUUGCUGUGUGUGCUGGCCCUGGUUGAGGGGAGUAAGGGGAGAUCAGCUCUGUGGCCAUAGACCCUUAUAAUCUAAUGUAGAAGUGCAGUUAUCAUCUUGAUACGCAUAAGAAGUGAGUGAUUUUCCUGAGUAGAUCAGCUGCCUGCCCUCCCACCUGUGCCGUGGGUGAGGAGAGGAGCACCACAGCUGGGUCAUCUCCUCUCCCCAUCUCCUAGGAGAGCAGUUUGCUUGUAGUGAGGAGCAUCAGCAGCUGAGUGACGGCGAUGAAGAAGCAGCUGCUCUGGACUGCGGAGACGGAGUCAGGGGUUGUCGAGGCUGUGGUUGGAUCUGUUCGUGGAACUGAAAGAAACCCGCGGGGUAAAUUAGAAGUGCAGAGGACCAGCUACAGACCUACGUGCUGUCAUUUCUCAGAAAUGUGUGUCAGACCUGUGGUACAGAGUGGGAUGCAUGAAUACAUCCAACCUAUCGACACCAUUGCCCACUAAACCACUUCCCUGUGUACUCUACCUGCCCUUUCC
RNAcentral lists this long non-coding RNA (803 nucleotides) under Gallus gallus (chicken). RNAcentral's name for it is "lncRNA (ENSGALG00010026156.1)". Lineage: Eukaryota; Metazoa; Chordata; Aves; Galliformes; Phasianidae. The record is from RNAcentral.